Molecule: long non-coding RNA, 206 nt
Organism: Hordeum vulgare subsp. vulgare (domesticated barley)
Lineage: Eukaryota; Viridiplantae; Streptophyta; Magnoliopsida; Poales; Poaceae
Exons: 3
Source: RefSeq, a predicted model, not a curated record
CGAAGGUCGCCGCGUGCACGUACGCGUUGCCGAACCCGAGGCGCCCGGCGUUCCACCCGAACACGCAGCAGCUGCACAACAGUGACAGGCCCUUCUGCUGCAGCCUCUUGGUCAUCAGCAGCAGGAUUAAGAGAUUUGAUUGAGGAGAAACAAGAGCUGCUGCUGCUGCUCAAUAGAAUUACAACCAACCGAUGAAGGAAACAAGA